Molecule: transfer RNA, 90 nt
Filed under: Affinundibacterium seohonense
Lineage: Bacteria; Pseudomonadati; Pseudomonadota; Betaproteobacteria; Burkholderiales; Oxalobacteraceae
Also listed under: 3 other names
Description: tRNA-Ser
Rfam family: tRNA
About the family: Transfer RNA (tRNA) molecules are approximately 80 nucleotides in length.
Source: RNAcentral
GGAAGUGUGGCCGAGCGGUUGAAGGCACUAGUCUUGAAAACUAGCGAGGAUGAGAGUCCUUCGUGAGUUCGAAUCUCACCGCUUCCGCCA